RNAcentral lists this ribosomal RNA (430 nucleotides) under Acidobacteriota bacterium. RNAcentral describes it as "Acidobacteria bacterium partial 16S ribosomal RNA". It matches the Rfam family "Bacterial small subunit ribosomal RNA", at positions 355 to 776 of the family's 1533-position model. Lineage: Bacteria; Pseudomonadati; Acidobacteriota. The record is from RNAcentral.
UGGGGAAUAUUGGACAAUGGGCGAAAGCCUGAUCCAGCCAUGCCGCGUGUGUGAAGAAGGCCUUUUGGUUGUAAAGCACUUUAAGCGAGGAGGAGGCUACUUAGAUUAAUACUCUAGGAUAGUGGACGUUACUCGCAGAAUAAGCACCGGCUAACUCUGUGCCAGCAGCCGCGGUAAUACAGAGGGUGCGAGCGUUAAUCGGAUUUACUGGGCGUAAAGCGUGCGUAGGCGGCUUUUUGAGUCGGAUGUGAAAUCCCUGAGCUUAACUUAGGAAUUGCAUUCGAUACUGGGAAGCUAGAGUAUGGGAGAGGAUGGUAGAAUUCCAGGUGUAGCGGUGAAAUGCGUAGAGAUCUGGAGGAAUACCGAUGGCGAAGGCAGCCAUCUGGCCUAAUACUGACGCUGAGGUACGAAAGCAUGGGGAGCAAACAGG